This 301-nucleotide ribosomal RNA is filed under the name uncultured bacterium. Its description in RNAcentral is "partial 16S ribosomal RNA". It matches the Rfam family "Bacterial small subunit ribosomal RNA", at positions 509 to 807 of the family's 1533-position model. The record is from RNAcentral.
CAGUAGCCGCGGGAAUACGUAGGGUGCGAGCGUUAAUCGGAAUUACUGGGCGUAAAGCGAGCGCAGACGGUUAUUUGAGCAGGAUGUGAAAUCCCCGGGCUUAACCUGGGAACUGCGUUCCGAACUGGAUAGCUAGAGUGUGUCAGAGGGGGGUAGAAUUCCACGUGUAGCAGUGAAAUGCGUAGAGAUGUGGAGGAAUACCGAUGGCGAAGGCAGCCCCCUGGGAUAACACUGACGUUCAUGCUCGAAAGCGUGGGUAGCAAACAGGAUUAGAUACCCCAGUAGUCCCUGUCUCUUAUAC